RNAcentral lists this ribosomal RNA (482 nucleotides) under uncultured bacterium. RNAcentral's name for it is "partial 16S ribosomal RNA". It matches the Rfam family "Bacterial small subunit ribosomal RNA", at positions 30 to 507 of the family's 1533-position model. The record is from RNAcentral.
AUUGAACGCUGGCGGCAUGCUUUACACAUGCAAGUCGAACGGUAACAGGCCGCCAGGUGCUGACGAGUGGCGAACGGGUGAGUAAUGCAUCGGAACGUGCCCAGUCGUGGGGGAUAACUACUCAAAAGAGUAGCUAAUACCGCAUACGAUCUAUGGAUGAAAGCGGGGGACCGUAAGGCCUCGCGCGAUUGGAGCGGCCGAUGUCAGAUUAGGUAGUUGGUGGGGUAAAGGCUCACCAAGCCAACGAUCUGUAGCUGGUCUGAGAGGACAACCAGCCACACUGGGACUGAGACACGGCCCAGACUCCUACGGGAGGCAGCAGUGGGGAAUUUUGGACAAUGGGCGCAAGCCUGAUCCAGCAAUGCCGCGUGCAGGAAGAAGGCCUUCGGGUUGUAAACUGCUUUUGUACGGAACGAAACGGCUCUGGUUAAUACCCGGGGCUAAUGACGGUACCGUAAGAAUAAGCACCGGCUAACUACGUG